UACGUAGGGCGCAAGCGUUAUCCGGAAUUAUUGGGCGUAAAGAGCUCGUAGGCGGUUUGUCGCGUCUGCCGUGAAAGUCCGGGGCUCAACUCCGGAUCUGCGGUGGGUACGGGCAGACUAGAGUGAUGUAGGGGGAGACUGGAAUUCCUGGUGUAGCGGUGAAAUGCGCAGAUAUCAGGAGGAACACCGAUGGCGAAGGCAGGUCUCGUGGGCAUUAACUGACGCUGAGGAGCGAAAGCAUGGGGAGCGAACAGG
This 255-nucleotide ribosomal RNA is filed under the name uncultured bacterium. RNAcentral describes it as "partial 16S ribosomal RNA". It matches the Rfam family "Bacterial small subunit ribosomal RNA", at positions 524 to 776 of the family's 1533-position model. The record is from RNAcentral.